Molecule: ribosomal RNA, 588 nt
Filed under: uncultured bacterium
Lineage: Bacteria
Description: partial 16S ribosomal RNA
Rfam family: Bacterial small subunit ribosomal RNA
Source: RNAcentral
UGGGGAAUUUUGGACGAAUGGGCGAAAGCCUGAUCCAGCAAUGCCGCGUGUGUGAAGAAGGCCUUCGGGUUGUAAAGCACUUUUGUCCGGAAAGAAAUCCUUGGCUCUAAUACAGUCGGGGGAUGACGGUACCGGAAGAAUAAGCACCGGCUAACUACGUGCCAGCAGCCGCGGUAAUACGUAGGGUGCAAGCGUUAAUCGGAAUUACUGGGCGUAAAGCGUGCGCAGGCGGUUUGCUAAGACCGAUGUGAAAUCCCCGGGCUCAACCUGGGAACUGCAUUGGUGACUGGCAGGCUAGAGUAUGGCAGAGGGGGGUAGAAUUCCACGUGUAGCAGUGAAAUGCGUAGAGAUGUGGAGGAAUACCGAUGGCGAAGGCAGCCCCCUGGGCCAAUACUGACGCUCAUGCACGAAAAGCGUGGGGAGCAAAACAGGAUUAGAUACCCCUGGUAGUCCACGCCCUAAACGAUGUCAACUAGUUGUUGGGGAUUCAUUUCCUUAGUAACGUAGCUAACGCGUGAAGUUGACCGCCUGGGGAGUACGGUCGCAAGAUUAAAACUCAAAGGAAUUGACGGGGUCAUAGCUGUUUCC